UGCCAGCCGCCGCGGUAAUACGUAGGUGGCAAGCGUUGUCCGGAAUUACUGGGUGUAAAGGGAGCGUAGGCGGGAAUGCGAGUUGAAUGUUUAAACUAUCGGCUCAACCGGUAGUCGCGUUCAAAACUGCAUUUCUUGAGUGGAGUAGAGGCAGGCGGAAUUCCUAGUGUAGCGGUGAAAUGCGUAGAUAUUAGGAGGAACACCAGUGGCGAAGGCGGCCUGCUGGGCUCUAACUGACGCUGAGGCUCGAAAGCGUGGGUAGCAAAUAGGAUUAGAUA
RNAcentral lists this ribosomal RNA (278 nucleotides) under uncultured bacterium. RNAcentral's name for it is "partial 16S ribosomal RNA". It matches the Rfam family "Bacterial small subunit ribosomal RNA", at positions 506 to 784 of the family's 1533-position model. The record is from RNAcentral.